This 212-nucleotide unclassified non-coding RNA is filed under the name soil metagenome. RNAcentral describes it as "partial contains 5.8S ribosomal RNA, internal transcribed spacer 2, and large subunit ribosomal RNA". The record is from RNAcentral.
AACAAGGCGUACCUGCGGACCUGCGGAAGGAUCAUUACAAGUGACCCCGGUCUAACCACCGGGAUGUUCAUAACCCUUUGUUGUCCGACUCUGUUGCCUCCGGGGCGACCCUGCCUUCGGGCGGGGGCUCCGGGUGGACACUUCAAACUCUUGCGUAACUUUGCAGUCUGAGUAAACUUAAUUAAUAAAUUAAAACUUUCAGCAAUGGAUCU